UAAAACUUUCAACAACGGAUCUCUUGGUUCUCGCAUCGAUGAAGAACGCAGCGAAAUGCGAUAAGUAGUGUGAAUUGCAGAAUUCAGUGAAUCAUCGAAUCUUUGAACGCACAUUGCGCCUCCUGGUAUUCCGGGAGGCAUGCCUGUUCGAGCGUCAUUAAAA
This 163-nucleotide ribosomal RNA is filed under the name Aleuria aurantia (orange peel mushroom). RNAcentral describes it as "5.8S ribosomal RNA". It matches the Rfam family "5.8S ribosomal RNA". Rfam says of the family: 5.8S ribosomal RNA (5.8S rRNA) is a component of the large subunit of the eukaryotic ribosome. Lineage: Eukaryota; Fungi; Ascomycota; Pezizomycetes; Pezizales; Pyronemataceae. The record is from RNAcentral.